ACGAGAGAAGCGCAUGCGUGAGGCCCACCCGCAGCGCUGCCAUUGAGGAGCAUUGACUCAGUGAGUGGAAGAGGUUUGUUUGAAACAGGCCGCAAUGGAGAGACCAGCGCCCAGGGAAGCGAGGGAACAGCAGGCUCCUUCCAGCAGCGCAUCGAGAUGCAAAUUCUCAAAGAAACAACAUUUCCUUGUUAGAAAGCCAAGUGUGAGCAGUUGCUUCUAACUAACACCAGGCAUGUUCCUGCAAUCAGAAUGGAGAACAUCUUUUCCAUAGUCAGAGUGGAUUGGAUCAGACUUGUAUUGAGCUCAAUUUCCAGAGACUUGUCUGAGGAAAGGCAAGUUUUUUUUUGUUUUUCAUUGUCAAUUGGAACUAGCAUGAUGUGAAUUAAUAUCAUUUGUAGCCCAUUAACAUUUAAAUCAUGUUUGAAAGGUUAACAUCUGACUCCUUGUUGAAAGUACUGAAAACAGGAACUGGAUCAAGUUUGCAUUUAGAAAAGGUAUUUUAUAAUAUCUCAAACCGGAUAGAGAGAGUGUCCUCCUACCACCCCUUUGAUCAUGACCCUGCCCCAAUCGCCAAAACAUCAUCAUCUCACAGACCAUCCACAACCUCAGCACCUCAGGCACUCUCCCGCCAACAGCCUCUGACCUCAUCUUUCCCCAACGCCAUAUUAACUGUUUCUGCAUCAAUCUCAAAAUCCACAAACCCAACUGCCCCUGUUGACCCGUUUCCUCUGUGACCCUGUCCCACCGAACUCAUCUCCAAUUAUCUCAACUCCAUUUUCUCUCGCUCUCCGUGCCCCUGCCCCUGGACCAGGAACUCCCCACCUAAAUCUGUGACACCACCAACAUCAUCUCCUUCAAAUCCUCCCACUUUCUGCAGUCAAAGUGGGUGGCCAUGGGUACCCGCGUGGGCCCAAGCUAUUCCUGCCUCUUGUAGGAUUCAUGGACCAGCCCCUCUUCUGCAGCUGUACUGGCCCCAUCCCCACCUCUUCCUCCGUUAUUUUGAUGACUGUAUCGGUGCCACCUCGUGCUCCCACAAGGAACUCACAGUUCAUCCACUUUACUGACACCUUCCACCCCAAGUUUAACUUCACCUGAACCAUCUUAAAUAUAUCUCUCUCCUUCCUGGACCACUCCGUUUGAAUUUCUGGCAACCACCUGGAAACUGGUAACUAAUUCAAUCCGACCGAUUCCCACAGCUACCUAGAAUACACUUCCCCUCCCCUCCCCUACCUGGCUGCAAAAAUGCCAUCCCCCAUUCCCAAUUCCUUCCUCUGUGUCAUCUGCUCCUGAGAUGAGGCAUUCCACUCCAGGCCAUUGCAGAUGUCCUUGUUUUUCAAGGACUGCCAAAUUCCCCUCCUCAGUGGCUGAAUAUGCCCUUGACCUCAUCGCUCUCAUUUCUGCAACUUGUCCCUUGCACCCCCUCUCCACAAUAACAACAAAGUCAGAAUCUCCUUUGUCAUCACGUAUCACUCCAUCAAACUCUGGGUUCAAUGCACCUUCCUCUGCCACCUUCAAUCUCACCCCAAUCCCAAGGACAUUUUCCCAACCCCACCCUUAUAUGCCUUCCAGAGGGACUGCUCUCUCUGACUCCCUCGUCCGCUCCACGCUCCACACUAGCCCCACCGCCCCUGUCACAUUUCACUGGAACCACAGGAAGUGCUACACCUGCCCCGACAUCUCUCCCCUUGUCCCAAGAAAACCUUCCAUGUUAAACAGAUGUUCAUCUGUAUGUCCGCUAAUACAUUUUGUUGUGUCCACUGUUCCUGAUGUGGCCCCCUCUACAUUGGGGAAACCAAGCGGAGGCUUGGAAACCACUUUGUUGAACACCUACGCUCACAUCGUGACAAACGACUGCACCUCCCCAGUCAUGACCCACUUCAACACCCCCUCCCACCCCUUGGACAACAUAUCCAUCCUAGGCCGCCUCCAGUGCCACAACGUUGCCUCCGGAAGGCUGCACGAUCUGCAGCUCAUAUUUCACUUGGGAGCCCUGCAGCACAAUGUUCUCAACGUGGGCUUCAAAAUCUCUCCACACCAAACUCAUCCAGCACAUCCCUGCCUCCUUGACCUGUCCAUCUUUUCUCCGACCAAUCUGCUUCUCCCACCUCACUGAUCAACCCCCACCGGCACUUCAUCCUCCUAAACUUAUCCCUGCCUCCUUGACCUGUCAGCCUUCCCUCAACCCAUAUCCGAACUCCCUCCCUACACUUACCGUUACUGGCUCCAGCCCUGCCUCCUUGACUGGCCAUCUUCUCUCCACCUAUCUGGUCCUUUAUCCACCUUUUGUCAUCAUCUCCUCACUUCUCUCUAUUCAUUGCAGAGUCCCUUUCUCUUCCCCCAUUUCUGACAAAAGGGUCCAGUCCAGAAAUGUCAGCUCUCCUGCUCCUCUGCUGCCUGACCUGCUGUGUUCAUCCAGCUCUACACCAUGUUACCCCCUCAAAGAAAAACAUCAUGUUACAUAGUUUGAACAACCAUGUCUGACAAGUAGCAAAUCACUACUGAGCACGUGCAGACACAUAGACAAAGCUGCUGACUGAGUCCCAGAUAUGCUCAUUGUAUCAACACAUAACAUACAAAGACUGGGUAUACAUUGUUGUCAUACACACUGCAGGUAACAGAAGCAAAUACAUAAGAAAUGUUUAGAGCUCUUUUUUUAAGAAAAGCAAGAGAGUCUACCAGACAGAAAAAAAUACCUUUCAGCCCAUCGGGGCAAUAGUAGACAAAAACAAGCACCUGACAAUUCUGAUCCCAUUCAGCCAGCAUUCCAUUUCAAUAAGUGUGUCAUGGCAGUAUACGAUUUGCCAACCCCAACCUUAUCACAAUGUGAUUCUCAACGUGUUCACCUUCAGGAAUAGAAACUAUAUUUUCCAUCUGUCUUGCAAAGCUUCUUUUUUUUUGGGCGGGAGGAAGCAUUGAAGUGAAUUUGGCAACUAAGUUAAACAGUUGUUUACAGUGUCACUUACUCCUCCGAAUGAAAUAUCGCAGAAGUGAGCAGGAAAACAGAAUGCUGUUUCUACACAUGAAUGAUGUAAUCACCAUUUAAAGCAAUGAAGAAUGAUCCAUUUAACUGAA
Long non-coding RNA from Stegostoma tigrinum, 3072 nucleotides. RefSeq lists it as uncharacterized. The record is from RefSeq and is a predicted model, not a curated record. NCBI's taxonomy places the organism in Eukaryota, Metazoa, Chordata, Chondrichthyes, Orectolobiformes, Stegostomatidae. The transcript has 2 exons.